GUCUACGGCCAUGCCACCCUGAAUGUGCCCGAUCUCGUCCGAUCUCGGAAGCUACGCAGAGUCAGGCCUAGUUGGGAUGGGAGACCCAUCCUAGGAAUACCAGGUGCUGUAGGCA
This 115-nucleotide ribosomal RNA is filed under the name Pteropus alecto (black flying fox). Lineage: Eukaryota; Metazoa; Chordata; Mammalia; Chiroptera; Pteropodidae. The record is from RNAcentral.